AUAAAGAAGAAAAUUUCCUUUUCUGCCCUCUUUUGUCGGCACCGUGGGAGAGCUACCACCUCCCAACUCUUCAGCAUGCCGCACUCGCACGUAGCGGUGGAUUUUUGUCUAAUGAAGGAGUCUGCAGCCUAUAAGCCGCCGUGAACAGGAAGUUCUGGCAAAUAUGGAAGGAGGCUAAUCAAGUCCUAAGAAAAACGAAGGCUGUCUUUCAACGCAAUGAAAUAUAAAGGUUCUUCCGUCUCACUUGACACUGACUGAGAAUGAGGCCGGCUGCUGAAAAGCAGGUGUUGAGAAUCUGCAAAGAACGACUAAGAUGGAACGUUGGUGCAGAGGAAAGUUGAUCAGAUGACAUCAGUGAAGUGGACACACUUACAGCUUGAUCCAGAAGUCUGAUUCCAGCAGGAUGAUAAAUGCACAAGAUUUGUUACACAAGACUAUAUGCUGGUAUUUUGUUUGUUUUGAUCCUUGCCAAGACAGUGUUCAACAUUUGGAGCUGUUCAUGCUGCAACUGUGUACUAUAUCACAAUUGAAAUAAGCCAUUUGACUUAAUAAAAUCAUUUUGAAUCAUA
Molecule: long non-coding RNA, 569 nt
Organism: Centropristis striata (black sea bass)
Lineage: Eukaryota; Metazoa; Chordata; Actinopteri; Perciformes; Serranidae
Exons: 5
Source: RefSeq, a predicted model, not a curated record